Molecule: ribosomal RNA, 207 nt
Filed under: uncultured bacterium
Lineage: Bacteria
Description: partial 16S ribosomal RNA
Rfam family: Bacterial small subunit ribosomal RNA
Source: RNAcentral
CGCGUAGGUGGCCUGAUAAGGGUGUGGUGAAAGUCCGGGGCUCAACCCCGGAUCUGCCGUGCCGACUGUCAGGCUAGAGUACUGUAGGGGCAGGCGGAAUUCCGGGUGUAGCGGUGGAAUGCGUAGAGAUCCGGAGGAAGACCGGUGGCGAAGGCGGCCUGCUGGGCAGUUACUGACACUGAGGCGCGACAGCGUGGGGAGCAAACA